AACAGGGAGAGGCAGCGCAGGCACAGGCGACUCUAGGUGAUGGGCACGUGUGUAGAGUGUGCCUGGCCAUCGAAAGUUUCGCCCUCAUGGUGAAGCAGACGGCUCAGAUGCUGCAGUCCUUCGGGACCGAGCUGGCCGAAACAGAGCUGCCCAAUGACGUCCAGUCGACAAGCUCAGUGCUGUGUGCUCACACAGAGAAGAAGGACAAGGCGAAGGAGGAUUUGAGGCUGGCACUAAAAGAGGGGCACAGUGUCCUGGAGAGCCUCAGGGAGCUGCAGGCUGAGGGCUCAGAGUCCAGUGUGAACCAGGACCAGCUUGACAACCAGGCCACCGUGCAGAGGCUCCUGGCCCAGCUGAACGAAACCGAGGCUGCCUUCGAUGAGUUCUGGGCAAAGCAUCAGCAGAAGCUGGAGCAGUGUCUGCAGCUCCGGCACUUUGAGCAGGGCUUCCGGGAGGUCAAAGCCAUCUUGGACGCGGUGUCCCAGAAGAUAGCAACCUUCACGGACAUCGGCAACAGCCUGGCGCAUGUGGAGCACCUACUGAGGGACCUGGCCGGCUUCGAGGAGAAAUCAGGCGUGGCCAUGGAGAGGGCCCGGGCCCUGUC
RNAcentral lists this small RNA (604 nucleotides) under Pongo abelii (Sumatran orangutan). RNAcentral describes it as "processed transcript". The record is from RNAcentral. Lineage: Eukaryota; Metazoa; Chordata; Mammalia; Primates; Hominidae.